RNAcentral lists this ribosomal RNA (680 nucleotides) under Acinetobacter radioresistens WC-A-157. RNAcentral's name for it is "bacterial SSU rRNA". It matches the Rfam family "Bacterial small subunit ribosomal RNA", at positions 28 to 702 of the family's 1533-position model. The record is from RNAcentral. Lineage: Bacteria; Pseudomonadati; Pseudomonadota; Gammaproteobacteria; Moraxellales; Moraxellaceae.
AUUGAACGCUGGCGGCAGGCUUAACACAUGCAAGUCGAGCGGAUGAAAGUAGCUUGCUACCGGAUUCAGCGGCGGACGGGUGAGUAAUGCUUAGGAAUCUGCCUAUUAGUGGGGGACAACGUUCCGAAAGGAGCGCUAAUACCGCAUACGUCCUACGGGAGAAAGCAGGGGACCUUCGGGCCUUGCGCUAAUAGAUGAGCCUAAGUCGGAUUAGCUAGUUGGUAGGGUAAAGGCCUACCAAGGCGACGAUCUGUAGCGGGUCUGAGAGGAUGAUCCGCCACACUGGGACUGAGACACGGCCCAGACUCCUACGGGAGGCAGCAGUGGGGAAUAUUGGACAAUGGGGGGAACCCUGAUCCAGCCAUGCCGCGUGUGUGAAGAAGGCCUUUUGGUUGUAAAGCACUUUAAGCGAGGAGGAGGCUACCUAGAUUAAUACUUUAGGAUAGUGGACGUUACUCGCAGAAUAAGCACCGGCUAACUCUGUGCCAGCAGCCGCGGUAAUACAGAGGGUGCGAGCGUUAAUCGGAUUUACUGGGCGUAAAGCGUGCGUAGGCGGCCAAUUAAGUCAAAUGUGAAAUCCCCGAGCUUAACUUGGGAAUUGCAUUCGAUACUGGUUGGCUAGUGUAUGGGAGAGGAUGGUAGAAUUCCAGGUGUAGCGGUGAAAUGCGUAGAGAUCUGGA